ACUUUCGCUAGGUCGAAACGGGCCUUAGCCCGUCCUACCGUAUUGCGGUAGCUGAUGAGACCUGAAUCAUAU
Molecule: non-coding RNA, 72 nt
Filed under: uncultured organism
Source: RNAcentral